AAGUCGUAACAAGGUUUCCGUAGGUGAACCUGCGGAAGGAUCAUUAACACGUAUCCAACGAAACCCCGCCCGUGAAUAUUAAUCGUGCUCUUGCAUCCAGCAAUCUCUGGUAAAUCACGUCGAGCGGUUUGAUCCAGAGACCUCUGCGUUGUGGAUGACUGCUGACGCUAAAGGUGCAAUCGAGCGCUAGGAUCAGUGGUUUGGUUUCCCCUCAAACCACUGCAAUGAAUGACAGCGUCAUUUUUUUUGAAGUGUGAUGGGGAGGUCGCUUAACGCACGCUGUAGGCUCACGAGCCGGCGUCCAAAUCACCGGCCCCUAAAACCACAUGUCAGCGCCCUUCUGUCGUGGUUGGGCGUAAAAACGAACAACUGUUACAUGGAUAUCUUGGUUCUC
This 394-nucleotide unclassified non-coding RNA is filed under the name fungal sp. Its description in RNAcentral is "partial internal transcribed spacer region". The stretch from base 1 to 46 matches the Rfam family "Eukaryotic small subunit ribosomal RNA", at positions 1786 to 1831 of the family's 1831-position model. Lineage: Eukaryota; Fungi. The record is from RNAcentral.